GGCAGUGUGGCCUAGUAGAAUGAGCACUGACCUUGUACUCAGAAGAUCUGGUUUCUAUUCCCAGCUCUGCUA
Molecule: transfer RNA, 72 nt
Filed under: Chelonia mydas (Green sea turtle)
Lineage: Eukaryota; Metazoa; Chordata; Testudines; Cheloniidae
Rfam family: tRNA
About the family: Transfer RNA (tRNA) molecules are approximately 80 nucleotides in length. Their secondary structure includes four short double-helical elements and three loops (D, anti-codon, and T loops). Further hydrogen bonds mediate the characteristic L-shaped molecular structure. tRNAs have two regions of fundamental functional importance: the anti-codon, which is responsible for specific mRNA codon recognition, and the 3' end, to which the tRNAs corresponding amino acid is attached (by aminoacyl-tRNA synthetases). tRNAs cope with the degeneracy of the genetic code in two manners: having more than one tRNA (with a specific anti-codon) for a particular amino acid; and 'wobble' base-pairing, i.e. permitting non-standard base-pairing at the 3rd anti-codon position.
Source: Rfam by way of RNAcentral